GUACACACCGCCCGUCRCACCAUGGGAGUCGAUUGCUCCAGAAGUGGGUGCGCCAACUCGCAAGAGAGGCAGCCCCCCAAGGAGUGGUUGGUAACUGGGGUGAAGUCGUAACAAGGUWKCCGUAGGUGAACCUGCAGAAGGAUCA
RNAcentral lists this ribosomal RNA (145 nucleotides) under uncultured eukaryote. RNAcentral describes it as "partial small subunit ribosomal RNA". The record is from RNAcentral.